This 2460-nucleotide long non-coding RNA is filed under the name Homo sapiens (human). Its description in RNAcentral is "HSALNT0277379". Lineage: Eukaryota; Metazoa; Chordata; Mammalia; Primates; Hominidae. The record is from RNAcentral.
GAGGAAUUCACAUGCAGUGCGGGAGGCAGAGCCACAAACAAGUGCAAGCACCUGGCAGACUGGAAUACACAAGAGCAUCCCCUCUGGGCCCCCACUGUGCAGGAGGCUGCAGGGCUGGAAGUGGAGGAACUGUUACCAGAAGGUGGUCCAAGCAGGCUGCAUUUGGAAAGGUGGAAAGGUGAGGGAGAAGUCCAGGCAGAAGGCACAGCCCAAGGGUGUGAGCAGGUUCAGGCAGGAAAAGAUUCACAGGCCAGACCAGGGUGAGGCAGGCGCAGCACUGGCGUGGCCCUGAGAGGAAACCCUUGCACAAAUUUUGCACCUUGACGCCAGACAUGUUGGCUCAUGUCUGUAAUCCCAGCACUUUAGGAGGCCGAGGGGGAAGGAUCGCUUGAGGCCAGGAGUUUGAGACCAGCCUGGCCAACAUGGCAAAAUGCUGUCUCUACUAAAAAUUAAAAAAAAUUAGCCAGGCGUGGUGGUGCACAUCUGUAUUCCCAGCUACUGGGGAGGGUGAGGUAGGAGAAUCACUUGAACCUGGGAGGCGGAAGUUGCAGUGAGCUGAGAUCACGCCACUGCACUCCAGCCUGGGUGACAGAUCGAGAUUCCAUGUAAAAAAAAUUUUUUUGCACCUUGGGCACCUUGCUCGCCUCACUCAUGCUCAUGUGGCAAUCGAAUGAGUGGCAGUUUAAUGAGGAAUGGCGAGGAAGGUGCGGGGCUGGGCUCAGGAGUGCUGAGAGGGAGAGUGUGGUCCUCAGGCUGAAAAGCAAAAGCCAUCUCCAUGGCUGCCCAGAGGAGGAUGCAGUUUCCAGAGCUGUGAAGGGGGACCCAAAGGCCAGGGCAGGAGCUAGGACCCCGUGAGAAGGGGGCCAAGGACACGUACCCUCACUUUAUCCUCCUGCCACUGUCCAAUCUCCAAUGUUUCCAUGGCAAACCCAAUGGGAAACAAACAGAGCCCACUGAUGCCUCCUGUCAGGGGCAGAGUAGUGGCCUGGAAAGAUGUUCAUGGACAAAUCCCUGAAACCUGUGAACACGGCGCCUUCCAUGGCAAAGGUGCAGAUGAGAUCAAAUUAAGAUGGGGAGAUUAUUUGGGGAUUAUCAGGAUGAGCCCAAUGUAAUCACAGUCAUUAAAGAAGGAGGCAGGAGGCAGAGCCAGAGAAAGGAGAGAUGGUGACAGGUCCAGAGGGUGGGAGGGAAUCGGAGGGUGCUGGCUUUGAAGACGGGCUUAGAGGCCCCGAGCUAAGCAAUGUGGCAGCCUCUGGAAGCUGGCAAAGGCGAGGAAACUGAUUCUCCCCAGAGCUUCCAGGAAGAACCAGCCCUGCCUGCACUUUCAUACUUUGACUGUAGCCCGGUGAGGCUGAUUUUGAACUUCUGACCUCCAGAACCGUAAGAGAAUAGAAACAUAAGAGAAUAAAUGUGUGCUAUUUUAAGCCACUGAGUUUGUGAUGUUUUUUUUUUUUUCUUUUUUAGUAGCCACACUUCUCCAUCCAUGGAUGUCGGCCCCCUAGGCCGAAGAGCAGAGAGAGAAGCGCAGACGGAGGAACCCACCACGCAAGCAGGCAGGCAGCAAGUUCACUUUCACGUUCUUCUCAGGUUCAUUUCUAUGUUCUGCAAUCAAUGUAUAAGGAAGGUACGGUCAUUAUCUCCAUGACACAAACGGAUGAAUCAACAAAUGCCACCACGUUCCUUCUGGGGAAAGGCACUGACCCGACAGAUCAGGCCCAUCACCAGGCAUAAAGUGAGAGGGUGCCAUGCUGAGUGUCCUCUAUUAUACCACCAGAAGCAGGCAGGGUGUUUCUGGAAGGAGGGCCCCCUGGAGGAGGAGAGGCACAGAGGGAACUGAAGUCUGGGUCGCUGGAGAAAACAGCCCCUUCAACUCUAAAGGAGUAGCUGGGCCUGAAGCUGGGGGGUUCCAGGAGCCAAGAUCCUCAAACUCACCCAUGAGUUUGAGUUUGACAGGGAUGGCAGUGGGAACCUUAGGGCUGCGUGCUAGAAGCUGAUGGGUUCCAGAGACCGAGUCACCCAGAAAUCCCAUCUAAUUCUAAGAUUUGAUGAGUCCUAUAUCAGGAGGAGACAAGACCCGAGAAACUAUCACUGUGGUCACCUCCAGGGUGGCUGGGGACGGUCAGAGAGAAGGGGGACUGGUUUUACUUUUGUCUUUUCACCCAUGCGCUACCCAUACAAAAAAUAAUACACGUGUAUAUUUGAACUGAAUAUUUCUAAGAGUCUAGCCUUCUAAGCCUCCAAGAUUAUUACAAUCAUUCUGAGAUCCAGACUGAUUCUCAGAGACUGCUGGCAAAGAUUCGGGGGUUGGGCAUCCGUGGGUUUGGACCCCGGCUCCGUGCAUUUCUGUGCCUCAGUUUCCUGGUGUGUAACCCAGGACGAGGAUACCCACUUCCGCUGGAGCAUGAUAACGAUAACUCAGGCAUCCCCCAGGAUCUGUCACGCAGCAGAGCCUUUGUCCAA